This is a long non-coding RNA of Eubalaena glacialis (North Atlantic right whale), 243 nucleotides long. RefSeq lists it as uncharacterized. The record is from RefSeq and is a predicted model, not a curated record. Lineage: Eukaryota; Metazoa; Chordata; Mammalia; Artiodactyla; Balaenidae. The transcript is spliced from 3 exons.
GGAUCCUCCUUGGUUCCUGCCUUGGUCAGGAAUUGCGCUGGCUGCAUACACCACCAAAACACCACCAGCAACAACAAAAGUGGCUUCGGUCGCCUCAUGGUUCAGACUGUUGCCAGAGCCCCAGCCAUCACACCUCUGUUCAGGAAGCAGAAAAAAAGAAACGCAAAGGACAGGGGGUGCUUUUCCCAGGCCCCGCCUCUGCAGCUUCGAGACCCCAGCAGGGUCUUCAGGGACCAGCAGGAC